RNAcentral lists this long non-coding RNA (535 nucleotides) under Anas platyrhynchos platyrhynchos (common mallard). RNAcentral describes it as "lncRNA (ENSAPLG00000020549.1)". The record is from RNAcentral. Lineage: Eukaryota; Metazoa; Chordata; Aves; Anseriformes; Anatidae.
CAUUUUUAUGGGCUGGUUUCAUGAUCCACCAUGAGUUGUCUGUAUUCCAUUCUGCAUAAUGAAAAGUUCGGUGGUUUCCUCCAAAUUGUAUGUAUUGGCAGAACAAUCUGAGACGUGGAUUUCACACGGCAUGGGGUUAAUUAAGGAAAGGUCCCUCCUUCAGGUUCCUGCUCAGUCAGAAGCUUUCUGCUUUUCUGGUGCUAAAACUUGUGAUGGUGGUCACUUUGUGCACUAUAAAUCUGGAUGAUUCCUGGAAAGAGGUGAGAUUCUUCUGCUAUCCAUAUUCUUUCAUCUUCUGUUAGGACAUUGUUUUCAAUGGAAACAUGCUGAGGGUUGUGUUUGGUGAAGUAGCUCAUUCUGUGAGAGUAAAAAUAUGUUCUUCACUACAGCAUGACUUGGAGAGAGCUGAGCUAGGAGAAACUUGGUUCCUUAAUUUGUAUGUGCUUUGUUAUUUACCUCAGUAAAUUUCAAGAUAUCCUAAAUUUUGCUUCUCUUUCAGUAUUCCAAUAAAACAGCUGUUUCAACCUUUGUGUCA